AGGAGAUGCUCUAUCCAUGAGGAGAUGGUCUAUCCAUGAGGAGAUGGUCUCGUGCUAAUCCAGGCUGGAAUCACAGAAUUCUACAUGCUGCCACUAUGACAAGAAGACUUAAGAAAAGGAAUUCAGUCUCUAGACGCUGUGCCUGGAUUAUCUGGAACCUUCGUCAAGGAGCCCUCACGACCGCCUGCUCCGUGCU
Eubalaena glacialis (North Atlantic right whale) is the source of this 196-nucleotide long non-coding RNA. RefSeq lists it as uncharacterized. The transcript is spliced from 3 exons. NCBI's taxonomy places the organism in Eukaryota, Metazoa, Chordata, Mammalia, Artiodactyla, Balaenidae. The record is from RefSeq and is a predicted model, not a curated record.